Long non-coding RNA from Chroicocephalus ridibundus (black-headed gull), 419 nucleotides. RefSeq lists it as uncharacterized. NCBI's taxonomy places the organism in Eukaryota, Metazoa, Chordata, Aves, Charadriiformes, Laridae. The record is from RefSeq and is a predicted model, not a curated record. The transcript is spliced from 3 exons.
ACAGCUUCUGCAGAGGAUUAUGAAUUUACUCAGAUUUUCAAAGACUUUUUUGACAUUCAGUUCUCCGUAAUCCUUAAGAGAGUUUACUUUUGCCUACUAAAAUUUGGUUUGUCCUCAGCCUACUGAACAAGGUAUAAGUCAGUGUUUCAUUUUAUUUUCAACUUAUCUAGAACCGGGGCCUGCAGACCACAACGUGCCUAGUACCCCUCCUUCGAGAGGUGCCAACUGGUCUCCAGCUCUACCCUGAAGACACCUGGGAAGCAUUCAAGACAUCUUUUAUUAAAGGUACAGUAACUCACAUAUUUUGCCUCGAACUUCUUGGCUAGCAUUUCUACUUCAUGCCGCUCACGUUGUUCAUCACUAAAUGGAUCUUCCGGAUGAACCGAUUUCUUCUGAAAAAUGAAGAAGUUAAAUAUUCA